RNAcentral lists this ribosomal RNA (460 nucleotides) under uncultured bacterium. RNAcentral's name for it is "partial 16S ribosomal RNA". It matches the Rfam family "Bacterial small subunit ribosomal RNA", at positions 338 to 795 of the family's 1533-position model. The record is from RNAcentral.
CCUACGGGUGGCAGCAGUGAGGAAUAUUGGUCAAUGGGCGCAAGCCUGAACCAGCCAAGUCGCGUGAGGGAUGACGGUCCUAUGGAUUGUAAACCUCUUUUGUCGGGGAGCAAGGCCCGCCACGUGUGGCGGGAAGGAGAGUACCCGAAGAAAAAGCAUCGGCUAACUCCGUGCCAGCAGCCGCGGUAAUACGGAGGAUGCGAGCGUUAUCCGGAUUUAUUGGGUUUAAAGGGUGCGUAGGCGGAAGGUUAAGUCAGCGGUCAAAAUUCGGGGCUCAACCCCGUCCGGCCGUUGAAACUGGGGGCCUUGAGUGGGCGAGAAGAAGGCGGAAUGCGUGGUGUAGCGGUGAAAUGCAUAGAUAUCACGCAGAACCCCGAUUGCGAAGGCAGCCUUCCGGCGCCCUACUGACGCUGAGGCACGAAAGUGCGGGGAUCGAACAGGAUUAGAUACCCUGGUAGUC